Molecule: non-coding RNA, 2715 nt
Organism: Danio rerio (zebrafish)
Lineage: Eukaryota; Metazoa; Chordata; Actinopteri; Cypriniformes; Danionidae
Source: RefSeq, a predicted model, not a curated record
CAGUUCUGGGUGAAGGUUGUGCAUGCACCAGGCUCUAUUACAGUGACAAGGCAAUCUAGUCCCUUUGUGGGCGAUGAUUCUACUUCAUUGAUUUACAAUGGAAAGGAUAUAAUUUUGCUGGUGUUGGCAAAAAGCUCAAAUGUCAGGCUUUUCAGAAUGCCAGCAUUGCCUUGUUCGCAGAUGAAUAAGGAGAAAGUCACCUUUUGUCUCCUGUUAAAUAUUCCUGCAUAAAUACAAAGGAGCAUAAUGCCCUCCUGAUAAAAGGAAGCCCUGAUUUAUCCUGAUUUAUCCUUUAGUGUAUAGAUAAAACCCGCUGAUAAAUGCCAGGUUGGCCUUUUCAUUUUUGUUCUCUGAGGUUCGCUUUGCUUUUUUGCAGCAUAUCGAGUUUGGAAGACGGGUGUCGUUUUCAGAGACGCUGUUUUGUGGAAAGGACACAAAAGAUGCUUUAAACCUGCGUUAAUGAUAUUCAUGUUGCUUUGAAGUGCAAGUUUAGGAAACAGUGCAAAAAGUUUGACUUCCAGGUAUUAUCAUGCAGUUACCUGUUGUUGAAAUGCGAAAGGUAUGACUUGGACUCAGUGGACAUGGAAUCAAUUAGCUUUUGACCAGUCCAUAGACACACACGCACACGCAUGCUUGUCUAAGACCCUGUCUCUCCCUUUCUUUCUCUCCUUUGGUCUAUUCAGUAGCCUGUGAUCAUUUAGAUUUGACAUGCAUUGUAGCUGAGCUGGUCUCUCUCUUUUGCUCUCUCUCCCUCUCCCUCUUUUGCUACUGUCUGUCAUUAAUUUCCAGGCUUUACAAUUUGCCAAAAAAGAAAGAGAAAAGAGUGAGUGAGUGGUGGAAGGAUAAGAGCUCAGUGUCCUUUUGAAGGGGUUUGUUAUUGCACAAAAACAGCCGCCCAAUAAUUUUUCGUCAAUGUUUAACUCUAAAAGCUUUUCCCCGUCAGCUUUUGAAAAGAAGAGCAAUAAAGCCCUAUUCAUACGGACUGAAUAAAAACAGUCCUCUGGGGGCUAUGACCGAAGGGCUUCUUUUCUUCUGCCUCUAAUCAAAUAGGAACUGAAAUGAAUUAGAGUUUUCUUAUGAAAAUAGCCUUUGUUGUCAGGCAGGCCGGUAAUUCAUAAACAAUAAGCAACGUCAUUGUGUGGCUAGUAAUAUAUUCAUGCUGUGGAAAGGCUAGAAGGCAGUGCAGGACUAUGGCUUUGUGAAUGAGGGGAGGGAAGGAUUGGUCCUGGACUCUUCAUUUGCAGUCUUCACAGUGGGUGGUUCUGGUAACCACCAGUUUCUCUUCGUCUCUCUCUCUCUAUUUCUCUCAUGCUCCUGAUGUGGUCUUCUCAUUUUCCUCAUGCUCUUCCUUGUUUGCUUAUUUCUUGCAACUUUUCUCAUUUUGACCUUUCUCAAAGGCCUCUCGCUCUUCCUGUGCCUUGACCUGUCAAGUUUUUCAACUGCUUUUUUGCUCCUUUUUCCUCUGAGCAAAGGUUUAUAUUCUGGAAAACUUCUGGCUGGUGUUGUGGAUUCUGCUCCCAAACUCGUCUCUCUUGGAAAAAGUAGUGGAUUAUCUGAACCAUGAGGAAUGUGUCGCGGAGGGCAAAGGGCAAAUGGACUACAGCAACUUGGAUUUGUACUUGAACUUGGAUUACCACAAACCUGAGGAAAAACUGUGUUCUCGCUUAUAAGGGAUUAAUGCAGCUCUUUUGGUGGACCUGGAUGUCUUUUCUGUCAGUUUUUCAACAUGAAACGGCAAAAUUGGUUGCUUAAAUUCCAUUAUUUUCUUUUCUCCUCUGCUUUGACAUUAUUCAUGGAGUUAAAUAUAUUGACAGGUUUUGACGAGGCUGUUUCCGUCAUGGGCGUUGGCAUGGGAACCUGCCCCUGGCUGCUACCUGAAUGAGGGCGCAGGGCCUCUGCGAACAGCGCAGUCAAAGGAGUGACCCAGCAGGCUGCACAUUUUUACCUACAGCCGUAUCCAUGACAACAGCCUCAUGCCCACAACCAUUGAACACUUGAUUGACAGAUGUCCAAAUGUCAACCACUCCCUCUCAGGAGAUUUGGGACAUCCAGCUCCAGUCCGCCACGCUUUGUCUUUAAUUUGAGAGAUUUGGCAAGUUACCACAAACAAGGCUGGUGAAGUUGAUGUAUUUGAUGGCAGACUUGGAGAGCAAAGGAGGACCUCUUUGGACUUAAAAGCCCCCACACGCUUUUAGAUUUGACCCCACAAUUUUUCUUUCCUUUUGGUCUCAUGUCCUCAUCUCUCUCUUUUUUUGUGCAUCUUAAAUAUACGAGGCAGCAGACAGCUCUGGACAGAGAUAUGAGGAGCCUUCAAAGGCGUGUUGUGACUGCUGUUUCAUCUCAGUACAAAGGGUUAUGCCGAAAUGUGUUCCGCCUUUCAGUAUAUUUUGCAUUUAUGCUAAUGAUGCAUAAAUCGACAGUGCGCUUUUCUCUGCACUACCAUAUGAAUCUGUAAACAAACCGAGGAAGUUAAGCCGUCAAAUUUAAUUUCACUUUUACCAUGAGCUGCGUCCGAGAAUCGUCUUGACGUGUUGAUCUUAAAUUCCAAAAAUAUUUUUUUAUUUUAUUUUGUCUGUUAAAAUAAAUUUUUUCAUCAACAUUGAGCCAUUCAAGUUCAUCCUAAACCAAUCAAACGAGUCACUAAUGAAUAAUGUUACCAUUUGAAUAACCUAGACAUAUACAUUCACCUGCCACUUUAUUAGGUACACUGUCCAA